AGUGAACGCUGCGGUAGGCCUAACACAUGCAAGUCGAACGGCAGCACAGGAGAGCUUGCUCUCUGGGUGGCGAGUGGCGGACGGGUGAGGAAUGCAUCGGAAUCUACUCUUUCGUGGGGGAUAACGUAGGGAAACUUACGCUAAUACCGCAUACGACCUACGGGUGAAAGCCGGGGACCUUCGGGCCUGGCGCGAAAGAAUGAGCCGAUGCCCGAUUAGCUAGUUGGCGGGGUAAGAGCCCACCAAGGCGACGAUCGGUAGCUGGUCUGAGAGGAUGAUCAGCCACACUGGAACUGAGACACGGUCCAGACUCCUACGGGAGGCAGCAGUGGGGAAUAUUGGACAAUGGGCGCAAGCCUGAUCCAGCCAUACCGCGUGGGUGAAGAAGGCCUUCGGGUUGUAAAGCCCUUUUGUUGGGAAAGAAAAGCAGUCGGUUAAUACCCGAUUGUUCUGACGGUACCCAAAGAAUAAGCACCGGCUAAUACA
This 486-nucleotide ribosomal RNA is filed under the name Xanthomonas sp. oral taxon 037. RNAcentral's name for it is "bacterial SSU rRNA". It matches the Rfam family "Bacterial small subunit ribosomal RNA", at positions 29 to 504 of the family's 1533-position model. Lineage: Bacteria; Pseudomonadati; Pseudomonadota; Gammaproteobacteria; Lysobacterales; Lysobacteraceae. The record is from RNAcentral.